CCCAUUACGUAAAAACCUCUGCCAGGCACUUCCAUAUUGAUCCAUUCACUUAUAGUACUGGAAACCCCCUCUUUGUGUCUACUACAGAUUGCACUCAGCACAAAUGACACUUCCUAGUCCAGGCAAAUGGUGCAAACCAGCUUUGCUGCUCAGUUUGCAAUAAACUAGCCUGGUUCAAGAUGCUGGAAGAGAAUUUUAUGAAACCUCUGUCGUUGAAAGAGCUCUUGUUCCUUUUUUGGUGUGAAAGAGCAUUUUCUGCUGGAUUUGCUGUGCUUAGGCAGAGCGUGAGAUUUAAACCUCAGAGCGCCAGAGAAGGAACAUGAUUGUUGUGCUCGUAUGAAAGGGACCGCAAAAGCUCAUGUGAACCCCAGACUUGUGCGUGGAAUUUCUGAUCUCUGUCAGAGCAGGAAGGACCAAGAGCGUGAGACCACGGUUUCUCCAAGGAUUGAUAGACGUGGAAAGUUCUCUACCAGGGAAAACUCGAUCCUAGUGUACAUGAGCAAGGGCUGCUCUGAGAGCGUUAGCACUGGCCACCUGGACCCUGUUUAGUAGCCUGUAUGCACGGAGCUGCACGAGCUGGUGCAGAAGUGCCUGGAGCCCACCGCACUGGCCAUCGAACCUCUUGUGUGGACCAUGGUGGGUGAGGGCUGCCAGGCUGAAAGGCUUGUAGAGGCAGAACGAUUGAGGAAAACCUGGACACACCGGAAGUUUGGUUUGUGCCGUGUUUGACCAUGCAGGCUAAGGGCUUGUUCUCCGGGCUGCUGAUCCCCAGGCUUUGCAACAGCAUUUUAAGUCAUAUGCUGUCUCAAAAACCUGAUGCAUUAAAAAAGCAAGGAAAAACAGGGGAAUCCAGUUAUACCCACUGAGAAAGUGUCUCCAAGGAGCACGUCUGCAGCGCAGGGCGGAGGAGUUGUGGGGUGGAAGCGGUCAGGCUGGGAAUGCUUUGCGGGAGCCCCCUUCUUUGGGGUUUUCCCACCUUGGUUGGCCUCCGGGCCAGCGCUGCCAGGCCCAUCUCCACGGACUGCUGCAUUGCCUCUCGUGGUUAUAAGUUUAAGUUUAAAAUAUGUUUUGAUAGGUAAAGGGGGAAAAAUCUGAGGGUAAAAUAAGCUUGUACCAGUUCGCCCACACUUCACUUGCAGCCCAGAACUAGAGAAGUAAUUGUGAGAAAACCUCGCAGUUGGCAUGACUAUAUUUGCAGCUCUGGUGUUUGGAAAGUCCCUCCCACAGUCAAAAGGCCAUGUUCUCUCCUGGCAUAAACCUGUA
RNAcentral lists this long non-coding RNA (1263 nucleotides) under Struthio camelus australis. RNAcentral's name for it is "lncRNA (ENSSCUG00000007607.1)". Lineage: Eukaryota; Metazoa; Chordata; Aves; Struthioniformes; Struthionidae. The record is from RNAcentral.